Molecule: ribosomal RNA, 466 nt
Filed under: uncultured bacterium
Lineage: Bacteria
Description: partial 16S ribosomal RNA
Rfam family: Bacterial small subunit ribosomal RNA
Source: RNAcentral
GAUGAACGCUGGCGGCGUGCUUAACACAUGCAAGUCGAACGGAAAGGCCCAAGCUUGCUUGGGUACUCGAGUGGCGAACGGGUGAGUAACACGUGGGUAAUCUGCCCUGCACUUCGGGAUAAGCCUGGGAAACUGGGUCUAAUACCGGAUAGGACCACAUUUUGGAUGGUGUGGUGGAAAGUUUUUCGGUGUGGGAUGAGCUCGCGGCCUAUCAGCUUGUUGGUGGGGUAAUGGCCUACCAAGGCGUCGACGGGUAGCCGGCCUGAGAGGGUGUACGGCCACAUUGGGACUGAGAUACGGCCCAGACUCCUACGGGAGGCAGCAGUGGGGAAUAUUGCACAAUGGGCGCAAGCCUGAUGCAGCGACGCCGCGUGGGGGAUGACGGCCUUCGGGUUGUAAACUCCUUUCGCUAGGGACGAAGCGUUAUGUGACGGUACCUGGAGAAGAAGCACCGGCUAACUACGUG